Molecule: ribosomal RNA, 253 nt
Filed under: uncultured bacterium
Lineage: Bacteria
Description: partial 16S ribosomal RNA
Rfam family: Bacterial small subunit ribosomal RNA
Source: RNAcentral
UACGUAGGGUGCGAGUGUUAAUCGGAAUUACUGGGCGUAAAGCGUGCGCAGGCGGCUAUUUAAGCUUGCUGUGAAAGCCCCGGGCUUAACCUGGGAACUGCAGUGAGGACUGGAUGGCUGGAGUGUGGCAGAGGGGGGUGGAAUUCCACGUGUAGCAGUGAAAUGCGUAGAGAUGUGGAGGAACACCGAUGGCGAAGGCAGCCCCCUGGGCUAACACUGACGCUGAGGAGCGAAAGCGUGGGGAGCGAACAGG